RNAcentral lists this ribosomal RNA (245 nucleotides) under uncultured Lactobacillus sp. RNAcentral describes it as "partial 16S ribosomal RNA". It matches the Rfam family "Bacterial small subunit ribosomal RNA", at positions 116 to 354 of the family's 1533-position model. Lineage: Bacteria; Bacillati; Bacillota; Bacilli; Lactobacillales; Lactobacillaceae. The record is from RNAcentral.
CGUGGGUAACCUGCCAAGAGAUCGGGAUAACACCUGGAAACAGAUGCUAAUACCGGAUAACAACAGAUGAUGCCUAUCAACUGUUUAAAAGAUGGUUCUGCUAUCACUCUUGGAUGGACCUGCGGUGCAUUAGCUAGUUGGUAGGGUAACGGCCUACCAAGGCGAUGAUGCAUAGCCGAGUUGAGAGACUGAUCGGCCACAUUGGGACUGAGACACGGCCCAAACUCCUACGGGAGGCAGCAGGG